This 915-nucleotide long non-coding RNA is filed under the name Canis lupus dingo (dingo). Its description in RNAcentral is "lncRNA (ENSCAFG00020020162.1)". The record is from RNAcentral. Lineage: Eukaryota; Metazoa; Chordata; Mammalia; Carnivora; Canidae.
UUUAUUUGGAAAUAGGGGUUUUACAGGCAUAAUUAGUUAAGCUGAAGUCAUACUGCAUAGGGUGGGCCCUGGAUCCAAAGCCUGAUGUUCCUAGAAGAGGCUAGAACACAGAGGGGAGACGGCCAGGGGACAGUGGUGGCAGAGAUGGGGUGAUGUGUCUACGAGCUGAAGACAUCAAGGAGCGCUGGCGGCACCACCAGGAGCUGGAGGGGCAGGCAGGAGCCCCCAGAGCCUUCGGAGGGAGCUGGGCCAUGGUCUGGACUUCUUGCCACAGGUCCUGUGAGAGCAUAAAUCCUGGUUGUCUGAGUUGCCCACAAUGUCCCCAGGGCACUCGGACACCCACGAGUACGGAUCCGUGGGUGGUGGAGGACCUGAGGCACUUGCUGUGAACUCUGCCGCCCUGAAUCGUCUCCUUGGGCCACCACGGGGCUGGGUUAGGCUGGAGGCCACCGGCUUCUAAGUGUCUCCCUCUCUGCUGGGACCACAUGGCAACCACCAGGGCAGCUCUGCCAUUUGUUAACAGUGUCAUUUCUUUCAUAGAAAGGCACAAGAUGGGAGUCACGGAGAAUCCUGGAGGGGCAGCGCGUCCUCCUGCACCACAGCCCUGCCCGGCCCCCAGCGAGCCACACAGCCCAGCUGCAGAGCGGAGCCUCAAGCACAGCAGGGAAGCAGGUUACAAGUGCAAACCUCCAAACCCAGAUGCUGCAUGCCGUGGUUCCAGGGGGAGUCUGGUGCCUCUCAGCAACAGCACCUUUGCGGGGCUCUCCCGAGGACGUCAGAGGGGGGCUCGCUCCCCAUCACAGCAGAAGCUCCCUGUGUUCAGACUGCUCCUUCGGCAGAAACCUCUUCACUCCCUCAAACCCAGCAUCUUUGCCACGUCUGCCCUGUCUUUUCUUCCCCAGAAUCCAGGCUGUG